This 178-nucleotide ribosomal RNA is filed under the name uncultured bacterium. RNAcentral describes it as "partial 16S ribosomal RNA". It matches the Rfam family "Bacterial small subunit ribosomal RNA", at positions 1323 to 1500 of the family's 1533-position model. The record is from RNAcentral.
AAGCCGGAAUUGCUAGUAAUGGCAGGUCAGCAUACUGCCGUGAAUACGUUCCCGGGCCUUGUACACACCGCCCGUCACACCAUGAGAGUUGGGAAUACCCGAAGCCUGUGAGCCGACCGAAAGGGGGCAGCAGUCGAAGGUAGAAUCAAUGAUUGGGGUGAAGUCGUAACAAGGUAGC